This 253-nucleotide ribosomal RNA is filed under the name uncultured bacterium. RNAcentral's name for it is "partial 16S ribosomal RNA". It matches the Rfam family "Bacterial small subunit ribosomal RNA", at positions 524 to 776 of the family's 1533-position model. The record is from RNAcentral.
UACGUAGGGGGCAAGCGUUGUUCGGAAUUAUUGGGCGUAAAGGGUGCGUAGGCGGUGCGGUAAGUCUGUUGUGAAAUCUCCGGGCUCAACUCGGAGUCUGCAUCAGAAACUGCCGUGCUGGAGUGUGGGAGAGGUGAGUGGAAUUCCCGGUGUAGCGGUGAAAUGCGUAGAGAUCGGGAGGAACACCUGCGGCGAAGGCGGCUUCCUGGUCUGCGACUGACGCUGUGGCGCGAAAGCUAGGGGAGCAAACGGG